ACGACCGUAGCUCAGUUGGUUAGAGCACCACCUUGACAUGGUGGGGGUCGGUGGUUCGAGUCCACUCGGUCGUA
Photobacterium aphoticum is the source of this 74-nucleotide transfer RNA. It matches the Rfam family "tRNA". From Rfam's summary of the family: Transfer RNA (tRNA) molecules are approximately 80 nucleotides in length. Their secondary structure includes four short double-helical elements and three loops (D, anti-codon, and T loops). Lineage: Bacteria; Pseudomonadati; Pseudomonadota; Gammaproteobacteria; Vibrionales; Vibrionaceae. The record is from Rfam.